RNAcentral lists this ribosomal RNA (773 nucleotides) under uncultured bacterium. RNAcentral describes it as "bacterial SSU rRNA". It matches the Rfam family "Bacterial small subunit ribosomal RNA", at positions 724 to 1506 of the family's 1533-position model. The record is from RNAcentral.
CAGCACUGGGAUUCACUGACACUGAGGCUCGAAAGCGUGGGGAGCGAAACGGAUUAGAUACCCGUGUAGUCCACGCCGUAAACGAUGGAUACUAGAUGCUUGGGGUAUUGACCCCCUGGGCGUCGUAAGCUAACGCGUUAAGUAUCCCGCCUGGGGAGUACGGUCGCAAGACUAAAACUCAAAGGAAUUGACGGGGGACCGCACAAGCGGUGGAGCGCGUGGUUUAAUUCGAUGAUAAGCGAAGAACCUCACCGAGGUUUGACAUGCUACUGCUAAGCCUAUGAAAGUAGGCCUCCUUCGAGGGUGUAGCACAGGUGUUGCACGGCUGUCCUCAGCUCGUGUCGUGAGAUGUUGGCUUAAGUGCUAUAACGAGCGCAACCCCUGCGAUAAGUUGUAUCACUCUUAUCGGACUGCCUGUACAUAAGUACAGGAGGAAGGCGGGGAUGAUGUCAAGUCAGCGUGGCCCUUAUACCUCGGGCUACACACGCGCUACAAUGGUAGGUACAACGGGUUGCAAGUCAGCGAUGAUAAGCUAAUCCCUUAAAACCUAUCUCAGUUCGGAUUGCAGGCUGAAACUCGCCUGCAUGAAGUUGGAAUCGCUAGUAAACGUGGGUCAGCACACCGCGUUGAAUACGUUCUCGGUCCUUGUACACACCGCCCGUCAAGUUGGGAAAGUUAGGGGCACCCGAAGAUCCAUUAGCAAAGCCGGAAGGAAGCGUGGGUCGAAGGUGAAACUAGCGAUCAAAGCUAAGUCGUAACAAGGUAACCAAGGG